AUUUAUUUUGGUGGGAAUUCACCAAUCUUCAGGAGGGCGAUGGAGGGGGACGGGGGUGGGGGUAUUUUGUCAUGGGGAUGGAGGCGGGUUGACAAGUAGACAGAAAGCCCGACCAGGGGAUCCCCCAACCUGCGGAGGGGGGCCUCCCGACCCCAGUUCUCCCGCCUAUUGGCCUCUGUCUCCUAGAAGUGAGCGGCUGGGAGUCAGAGGUUUGGGAAACUGGGAGUCACUGAUGGAAUCCUUUGGGAAGAGUUACAGCUUUCCAGAGAAAGACACUGGAGAGCUCAGAACUCCAGGGAAUCUUCAGCUAUUGCCUGAAUAUCCGCAGCACAGAUGCGGAGCAAAAAAAGCUUUCUGCUUGCCUGGGACCUGGACAGAACUUACGCCUUUUAAGAGUUUUGGUGCCCUUUUUAAUUCGAAGUAAAAAAAAAAAAAACUGGUUGUAAAAAAUAUUUUCUUCUUCUUGCUAUUCCUCCGCUUAAGCGGGCCCCACUUGUGCAGUGGAACUGCCCAAGUGCAGUGCAUUUUACCCGGCGCCAGAGAGAAAUCGACAAGUCCGACUCCCUGCUUCUUCCCCUUCCCGCCCUUCCAUCCCCUCCCCCUUGCUUCUUUCCUCCAGAUCGGGCCUGGGCUUCCUUGUGUCUUUAAAUUCGGAAGAGGGUGAGGGGUGUAGAUCUGCGGGGGAGAGAGUGGGCCCCCCUUUCAAAUGGCCCAAAUUAAUGUGAUCGCAACAUGAGGGUGCACUUGGGGAAGAUGAAAGCGGAGGCCGGCCGGCUCCUCCUAGAGCUCUAUAAUUAUAGAUAAUAUAUCCCAUUUCAAAGCAAUUAGACCAAUCAGGCGUAACGAACCACUUUGCUGCCGAUGAAUAACAAAGGCGCACGGUUAUUUAAGCCCAGAGAUGUCAGGCAGACCCCGAGGCUCCAGGGGCCGACCAAACAUCUUCCAUCCUGGCUCUUCCACCCUGGGCUAAAGAAGCUCGACCACGGGGAAAAGAGACUGAACGGGGAAACCAGACCAGGGCGGAGAUGGGCAGGAACAGUCAUCAAUAGACACAUGAAAAAAAGACAGCCACGGGGAUGGCGGAGGAUAACAGCCCUGGAUACAACGAUGCCGAGAAGCCGAAGAACCUCUGCCAUCCGGGGACUCUUGAAGGACCUAAAUAUGAAGUGGAAUGGAAGGUUUCGGGUUGGAAUCUCAGACCCGCAGGUUCCUGAAGCUCUUGGAAGGGGCAGGGUCACGGCUUCUUCUGGGGCCACGCCCUUCAUUACGCCACGCCCCCUCGCCUCGCCACGCCCCUCGCCACGCCACGCCCCUCUGGACUCCGGGCUUGCCUUGGGGCUUUGGAGCAUGUUACAGAAUGAAUGACGACCCUCUGCCGGACCUCAAUUGCUGCAUCAGUGCUAUGGAGACCUGAGCUCCUCUUUGCCGCCCUCCCUGAGAGUGUGUGAGAAGGAUCUGAAUCCAAGGAAACUGGAAAACUGAGGAGACAAAUGCCAAGAUGGGGAAUCGUAAAUUCUAUUAAUAUUAAUAAUAGUUAAUACAACAAUGACUAUUGCAAAGUACUCUUCUGAGCUCUGAGGGUGACUUAAUUCUUUGAAUCUUGGCAGCAACUCUAUUUUUAACCCUGGUUUACGUACAGGAAGGGCUUCCCUCAUAGCUCAGUUGGUAAAGAAUCCGCCUGCAAUGUAGGAGACCCCCACCCCCACCCAGGUUCGAUUCGUGGGUUGGGAAGAUCCCCCGGAGAAGGGAUAGACUACUCACUCCAGUCUUCUUGGGCUUCCCUUGUGGCUCAGGUGGUAAAGAAUCUCCCUAAAAUGUGGGAGACCUGGGUUCUAUCCUGGGUUGGGAAAAUCCCCUGGAGAAGGGAAAGGCUACCCACUCCAGUAUUCUGGCCUGGAGAAUUUCAUGGACUGUGUAGAGCAUGAGGUCGCAAAGAGUCGGACACGACUGAGCUACUUGCACUUCACAUAGGGGAAAGAUGGAGUAAAGUAGUUUACAUGAGCAAAAACGGUCUUGCUAGGUGGCUCAGUGGUGAGGAACCCAUCUGCCAGUGCAGGAGACACAGGUUCGAUCCCUGGGUGGGAAAGAUCUCCUGGAGAAGGAAAUGGUAACCCACUCCAAUAUGCUUGCCUGGAGAACUCCCUGGACAGAGGAGCCUGGCUACAGUCCACAGAGUCGCCAAAGAGCAGAACAUGACUGAUUGACUAAACAACAAUAGCAAUGAACAAAAACAAGGUGUUCUAGGAUUUCCCAUGGCACCCAGGGGAUUCUCAGGCCCGCCACUGCAUGGAUGGACCUCCCUCUGGAGACCCCUGCUCUGGACUCCCUGGUGGGGAAAGGGCAGAGCAGGCUGCAAAGCCUGGCCCAUUCACAGCACUGGUGCUUCCAGCUGCCCAGCUCUGAUCCCUGGGAGUGCCUCUGGGGUGGCUCCCCAGAACAAGCUUGUGUGAGCCCCCAGGACUAGGACAGGGCCAGGCAAAGAGGGGACACUUCAGAGUCGAGGUGAAUGGAUGACCAGAAGGCAGUGUUAGAUCUUCAGCAUGAGCCGGGCCCUUAACCCAGAGUAUCAGGCCAGACCCAUUAGGGCCAGAGACCUGAGCCCUAGGCUCAAGUGUGAAAACAGUCCAUCUCAGCGCUAUCAAAUAGUUCUUGAUGGCCUUUUAAAAGAACACUCCCUGGUCAGGGAACUGGAUCCCUCAUGCCGCAACUAAGGUCUGGUGCAGCUAAAUAAAUAAAUACAAAUUAUAUAUAUGUAUGUGUGU
Long non-coding RNA from Bos indicus x Bos taurus (hybrid cattle), 2762 nucleotides. Lineage: Eukaryota; Metazoa; Chordata; Mammalia; Artiodactyla; Bovidae. The record is from Ensembl.